CCUGAAGAGAUUGUAGAUCGGCAACCGUUUCCUCUGCUAAUAUGGAUAAUUCAUGGAUGUUCUCUAUAAUGCUCGAAAAGUAAUAAAACAAUUAUGUGGAAAGCCGAAGCAUAGUCUUCUGUUCUGUGCAAUUGGAAGCGUAAAGAGGAGGCCAAUGCAAUUUUUAAUUGUCUUUUGAAAAAAAAAAUUGAAACUUUACUUUAUUAUAUAAAAAUAAAAGUGGUGACUUUUC
This is a long non-coding RNA of Zophobas morio, 232 nucleotides long. RefSeq lists it as uncharacterized. The transcript has 2 exons. Lineage: Eukaryota; Metazoa; Arthropoda; Insecta; Coleoptera; Tenebrionidae. The record is from RefSeq and is a predicted model, not a curated record.